This 228-nucleotide unclassified non-coding RNA is filed under the name Hevea brasiliensis (rubber tree). Lineage: Eukaryota; Viridiplantae; Streptophyta; Magnoliopsida; Malpighiales; Euphorbiaceae. The record is from RNAcentral.
GCGAUAUUGAACUUGCAAAGGUAUUUUCUCAGGCCUCCUACAAUAUUAUAACCCACACUUGUCUCUGUUGAAUUGAGGCCCAUGUUUCUUCAUACUUUAUAUCAUUAUUGGUAAUGUUAUUCCUUAUACAUUCCUUUGCAAGCCUUGUGAUAGCUCUUGAUAUCCUUUUGAAGUAUAUUCGUUUAUGGUUCUCUUUAUUAUUUGCAGGUUGAAGGUAAUGACAGAUAU